Heterocephalus glaber (naked mole-rat) is the source of this 1009-nucleotide non-coding RNA. The record is from RefSeq and is a predicted model, not a curated record. NCBI's taxonomy places the organism in Eukaryota, Metazoa, Chordata, Mammalia, Rodentia, Bathyergidae.
CUCCGUUCCUCCUCUGAGCUUGAAUCAUUUUCACUGUCUUUCAAGUCCUGAUAAAUGCAUUUUUAGUAUAAUUUUACCAUCACAUUUUAAAAUAAAAGACAUUCUGAGAAGAAAAAUCAAGAAAGAAUUAUAUUUACUUGCUGUUUUUUUUUCUUCACUAAGGAAUAUCAUGAUAUAUAUUAUUGAGAAUCCUAAAGUUUAAGUGGAAGAAACCUUUUCUUCUGGAGGAGCUAGGGAUUGAACUCAGAGUCUCAUGCAUGCUUGGCAAGCAGUCUAUCACUGAGCUACAUUCCCAGCCCUAGAGGAAGAAAAUUUCUAAGCAGCAUUCAAACUACUCUGUAUGUGCAGAUAAAUAUCAAGAUUAGCAUAAUGGACCACCUUUCAAAGCAGCAGAGAGAAAAGUCAACAGUGGUCUGGUCAUGGUGAGGAAAGGAAGUUUUGUAGAAAUUCAAUGAAGAGGAGAGACAGGAAAACACUUUCAAAAAGCAACAAUGCACAGUUCUCGAAUUAUUGGUCUAGACACACUGAAGACUACUUUUCCCACCAAGCCAAGAGAGGAUGUUGCUUGCUUGCAUUUAGUUCAGCCAAAUUCUCUGUAAUUUGAGGAAAUGGUGUACAAGACGGAUACACAAUUCAUACGUAUGACACAUGAGAUAGGAGCAGAGUUGCCCUAAGCCAUCUUCUUGAAGCACAUCUUUCACAUAAUGCCUUCUGGUUGCAUGAACUCCACUCAAGAGGUUUAAUGGUGGAUGAUGCCAGGUUAUAUUGUUAUAUAUGAUACACAGUAACUUCUGUAAAAAAUAAAAGGGAUCUAGCUUUCUGCCCAUGCAUCGCUUCAUACACUCAAUCUCAUAAAUGCUGAGAGUAUCUCUGGAAAAAUAUAGAUGACCUAGGCUGCCCUGGGAGAGGGGAAUUUGAAAGACUUUUCACAGUAUAUUUCUGUGUACCUUAAAAAUUAUCAAGUGUGUAUUACCUUAAAUGAUUAUAAAAAGAAAUGCAAUAAAUUAAC